Molecule: non-coding RNA, 160 nt
Organism: Pelobates cultripes (western spadefoot toad)
Lineage: Eukaryota; Metazoa; Chordata; Amphibia; Anura; Pelobatidae
Source: the annotation of a GenBank genome assembly
UGUGGACACAGACUCUAAUGGACACUGGGAGACAUGGGGACACAAAUACUAGGGGACACUGGGUGACAUGGGGACACUGAGACCCCAUGUCUCCCAGCCAGUGUCCCUAGUAUCUCCGUGUCCCCAUGUCUCCCAGUGUCCCUGGUGUCUCUCAGUGUCU